Molecule: ribosomal RNA, 492 nt
Filed under: uncultured bacterium
Lineage: Bacteria
Description: partial 16S ribosomal RNA
Rfam family: Bacterial small subunit ribosomal RNA
Source: RNAcentral
AGUGAACGCUGGCGGUAUGCCUAACACAUGCAAGUCGAACGGCAGCACAGUAAGAGCUUGCUCUUACGGGUGGCGAGUGGCGGACGGGUGAGGAAUACAUCGGAAUCUACUUUUUCGUGGGGGAUAACGUAGGGAAACUUACGCUAAUACCGCAUACGACCUACGGGUGAAAGCAGGGGAUCUUCGGACCUUGCGCGAUUGAAUGAGCCGAUGUCGGAUUAGCUAGUUGGGGGGGUAAAGGCCCACCAAGGCGACGAUCCGUAGCUGGUCUGAGAGGAUGAUCAGCCACACUGGAACUGAGACACGGUCCAGACUCCUACGGGAGGCAGCAGUGGGGAAUCUUGGACAAUGGGCGCAAGCCUGAUCCAGCCAUACCGCGUGAGUGAAGAAGGCCUUCGGGUUGUAAAGCCCUUUUGUUGGGAAAGAAAAGCAGCAGGUUAAUACCCCGCUGUUCUGACGGUACCCAAAGAAUAAGCACCGGCUAACUUCGUG